UGACUGGGGCGGUCUCCUCCUAAAGAGUAACGGAGGAGCACGAAGGUUAGCUAAUCCUGGUCGGACAUCAGGAGGUUAGUGCAAAGGCAUAAGCUAGCUUGACUGCGAGAGUGACGGCUCGAGCAGGUGCGAAAGCAGGUCUUAGUGAUCCGGUGGUUCUGAAUGGAAGGGCCAUCGCUCAACGGAUAAAAGGUACUCCGGGGAUAACAGGCUGAUACCGCCCAAGAGUUCAUAUCGACGGCGGUGUUUGGCACCUCGAUGUCGGCUCAUCACAUCCUGGGGCUGAAGUAGGUCCCAAGGGUAUGGCUGUUCGCCAUUUAAAGUGGUACGCGAGCUGGGUUUAGAACGUCGUGAGACAGUUCGGUCCCUAUCUGCCGUGGGCGCUGGAGAAUUGAGGGGGGCUGCUCCUAGUACGAGAGGACCGGAGUGGACGCAUCACUGGUGUUCGGGUUGUCAUGCCAAUGGCAUUGCCCGGUAGCUAAAUGCGGAAGAGAUAAGUGCUGAAAGCAUCUAAGCACGAAACUUGCCCCG
Molecule: ribosomal RNA, 531 nt
Filed under: Citrobacter freundii
Lineage: Bacteria; Pseudomonadati; Pseudomonadota; Gammaproteobacteria; Enterobacterales; Enterobacteriaceae
Description: partial 23S ribosomal RNA
Rfam family: Bacterial large subunit ribosomal RNA
Source: RNAcentral